GACGAACGCUGGCGGCGUGCUUAACACAUGCAAGUCGAACGGUAAGGCCCUUCGGGGUACACGAGUGGCGAACGGGUGAGUAACACGUGGGUGAUCUGCCCUGCGCUUCGGGAUAAGCCUGGGAAACUGGGUCUAAUACCGGAUAGGACCACUGCCUGCAUGGGUGGUGGUGGAAAGCUUUUGCGGUGUGGGAUGGGCCCGCGGCCUAUCAGCUUGUUGGUGGGGUGAUGGCCUACCAAGGCGACGACGGGUAGCCGGCCUGAGAGGGUAACCGGCCACACUGGGACUGAGAUACGGCCCAGACUCCUACGGGAGGCAGCAGUGGGGAAUAUUGCGCAAUGGGCGCAAGCCUGAUGCAGCGACGCCGCGUGAGGGAUGACGGCCUUCGGGUUGUAAACCUCUUUCAGCACCGACGAAGCGCAAGUGACGGUAGGUGCAGAAGAAGGACCGGCCAACUACGUGCCAGCCGCCGCAGUAA
Molecule: ribosomal RNA, 478 nt
Filed under: uncultured bacterium
Lineage: Bacteria
Description: partial 16S ribosomal RNA
Rfam family: Bacterial small subunit ribosomal RNA
Source: RNAcentral